This 253-nucleotide ribosomal RNA is filed under the name uncultured bacterium. Its description in RNAcentral is "partial 16S ribosomal RNA". It matches the Rfam family "Bacterial small subunit ribosomal RNA", at positions 524 to 776 of the family's 1533-position model. The record is from RNAcentral.
UACGAAGGGGGCUAGCGUUGUUCGGAAUUACUGGGCGUAAAGCGCACGUAGGCGGAUAAUUAAGUCAGGGGUGAAAUCCCAGAGCUCAACUCUGGAACUGCCUCUGAUACUGGGUAUCUUGAGUAUGGAAGAGGUGAGUGGAAUUGCGAGUGUAGAGGUGAAAUUCGUAGAUAUUCGCAGGAACACCAGUGGCGAAGGCGGCUCACUGGUCCAUAACUGACGCUGAGGUGCGAAAGCGUGGGGAGCAAACAGG